ACACAGGUGGAAGCUACACCUCUGGCACAGAUUAGGUACCUAAACACACUUCCUGCCUCUGGCUAGUUGUUGGAGCCUGAGCUGCAUAAGCAAAUAAGUACGAGUAGUUUUUUUCUCCCCCUUCGAUCUGAAAACUUAAGGUAGUUUGAUCUGUCUUGCUGGCGCCAACGCUCUACUGGCCAGAGAGAAAGGACACAGAUGGAAAACAGGUGUGAAGUCACAUUCUAAAAUGACCCAGCCAGUGAGCACUUGAUUAGAACAUCGCCAUGGGGUUCCUGAGCCGGACAGAUUGAGAACAGCCCUGUCUGAAAAGGAUUCUGAAAUUAUAAUCCAGGUCAGAUUGGAGAGGCAGAAGAGUUUGCAGAUUGCUCAGCCACUGAUUUAAGUGGUGGCCAUGGCAACUAGCUGAACAAGGAACUGUGUCCUUUUAACAUCAAGACUCUGAUUGGUCCAUCCUGAGACAUGUGUGCAUCUCUAGACUAAUUACUGUCUCCAGGGGAAGAGUUUCCAGAGAUAAGGCCAUCCCGCCUUCCUUCUGGAGCAGAGAGGGAGACACCCCCCACAGAUGGAGACUUCCUUCACAAAUGCAAACGUCUCUCAUCAAAGGGCAAGUAAAUUCCACUCCUCUGAGCCUCCCUCUCAUCUGCAGUUUUUUAAAAUUAACCAGCCGAAAUCCUCAUCAGCCAUGGCAACUAGCUGAACAAGGAAUUGUGUCCUUUUAACAUCAAGACUCUGAUUGGUCCAUCCUGAGACAUGUGUGCAUCUCUAGACUAAUUACUGUCUCCAGGGGAAGGAAUUCCCAGUGUCUCAGAAAAUGAUAACCAGCAGGAGAGCGUAUAUAAGAAAAUAGCAUAAAGAUGCUGGCAGCAAACCAAGGUUGGUUACAGAUUAUUUGUGUUGACACUCCUGUCGCUCUAUGUGAAUGCUCCUCUCAUAUCAAGAAGCAAAGUCUGGAUCCAUGAAUCUUGACUGGCCUUGGAACUUGCCUUGACCAACAGAUAGCAUCACAAGCGAUGCUCUGGGAUAUCUGAGCUGAAGCCGUAAAAGAACUGGAAGCUCCCACUCACCUUCUCUUGGAGCCCAGUUGCCCUGCUGUAAAGAAGUCAGACUAGACUGUGGAAUGGUAUGAGAAACUCUGGAGGGGGGGGGGGGGGGG
This 1156-nucleotide long non-coding RNA is filed under the name Equus caballus (horse). RNAcentral describes it as "lncRNA (ENSECAG00000053520.1)". Lineage: Eukaryota; Metazoa; Chordata; Mammalia; Perissodactyla; Equidae. The record is from RNAcentral.